GACGAACGCUGGCGGCGUGCUUAACACAUGCAAGUCGAACGGAAAGGCCCUGCUUUUGUGGGGUGCUCGAGUGGCGAACGGGUGAGUAACACGUGAGUAACCUGCUCUUGACUUUGGGAUAACUUCAGGAAACUGGGGCUAAUACCGGAUAGGAGCUCCUGCUGCAUGGUGGGGGUUGGAAAGUUUCGGCGGUUGGGGAUGGACUCGCGGCUUAUCAGCUUGUUGGUGGGGUAGUGGCUUACCAAGGCUUUGACGGGUAGCCGGCCUGAGAGGGUGACCGGCCACAUUGGGACUGAGAUGCGGCCCAGACUCCUACGGGAGGCAGCAGUGGGGAAUAUUGCACAAUGGGCGGAAGCCUGAUGCAGCAACGCCGCGUGCGGGAUGACGGCCUUCGGGUUGUAGACCGCUUUCGCCUGUGACGAAGCGUGAGUGACGGUAAUGGGUAAAGAAGCACCGGCUAACUACGUG
Molecule: ribosomal RNA, 468 nt
Filed under: uncultured bacterium
Lineage: Bacteria
Description: partial 16S ribosomal RNA
Rfam family: Bacterial small subunit ribosomal RNA
Source: RNAcentral